AUUGAACGCUGGCGGCAUGCUUUACACAUGCAAGUCGAACGCGAAAGGGGGCAACCCUGAGUAGAGUGGCGCACGGGUGAGUAAUGCAUCGGAACGUGUCCUGUAGCGGGGGAUAACCUAGCGAAAGCUAGGCUAAUACCGCAUACGCCCUGAGGGGGAAAGUGGGGGAUCGCAAGACCUCACACUAUAGGAGCGGCCGAUGCCGGAUUAGCUAGUUGGUGGGGUAAAAGCUCACCAAGGCGACGAUCCGUAGCUGGUCUGAGAGGAUGAUCAGCCACACUGGGACUGAGACACGGCCCAGACUCCUACGGGAGGCAGCAGUGGGGAAUUUUGGACAAUGGGGGCAACCCUGAUCCAGCCAUGCCGCGUGAGUGAAGAAGGCCUUCGGGUUGUAAAGCUCUUUCGGCCGGGACGAAAUCGCAUGGGUGAAUAUCCUGUGUGGAUGACGGUACCGGAAUAAGAAGCACCGGCUAACUACGUGCCAGCCGCCGCCAUAA
This 497-nucleotide ribosomal RNA is filed under the name uncultured bacterium. RNAcentral's name for it is "partial 16S ribosomal RNA". It matches the Rfam family "Bacterial small subunit ribosomal RNA", at positions 29 to 523 of the family's 1533-position model. The record is from RNAcentral.